This 467-nucleotide ribosomal RNA is filed under the name uncultured bacterium. RNAcentral describes it as "bacterial SSU rRNA". It matches the Rfam family "Bacterial small subunit ribosomal RNA", at positions 29 to 490 of the family's 1533-position model. The record is from RNAcentral.
AUUGAACGCUGGCGGCAUGCUUUACACAUGCAAGUCGAACGGUAACAGGCCUUCGGGUGCUGACGAGUGGCGAACGGGUGAGUAAUGCAUCGGAACGUGCCCAAUCGUGGGGGAUAACGUAGCGAAAGUUACGCUAAUACCGCAUAAGCCCUGAGGGGGAAAGCAGGGGAUCGCAAGACCUUGCGCGAAUGGAGCGGCCGAUGUCAGAUUAGCUAGUUGGUGGGGUAAAGGCCUACCAAGGCGACGAUCUGUAGCGGGUCUGAGAGGAUGAUCCGCCACACUGGGACUGAGACACGGCCCAGACUCCUACGGGAGGCAGCAGUGGGGAAUUUUGGACAAUGGGCGCAAGCCUGAUCCAGCCAUGCCGCGUGCGGGACGAAGGCCUCGGUUGUAACCGACUUCUAGCGGAAACGAAAUACGCCAAGGACGUAAUAAUACCUUGGUGGAGUGACGGUACCGGAACGAAG